This 438-nucleotide ribosomal RNA is filed under the name uncultured bacterium. RNAcentral describes it as "bacterial SSU rRNA". It matches the Rfam family "Bacterial small subunit ribosomal RNA", at positions 29 to 482 of the family's 1533-position model. The record is from RNAcentral.
AGUGAACGCUGGCGGCGUGCUUAACACAUGCAAGUCGAACGAUGAAGCCGGAGCUUGCUCUGGUGAAUUAGUGGCGAACGGGUGAGUAACACGUGAGUAACCUGCCCUUGACUCUGGGAUAACUGCUAGAAAUGGUAGCUAAUACCGGAUACGACCCUCGGCGGCAUCGCCAGGGGGUGGAAAGAAUUUCGGUCAAGGAUGGACUCGCGGCCUAUCAGCUAGUUGGUGAGGUAACGGCUCACCAAGGCGACGACGGGUAGCCGGCCUGAGAGGGUGACCGGCCACACUGGGACUGAGACACGGCCCAGACUCCUACGGGAGGCAGCAGUGGGGAAUAUUGCACAAUGGGCGCAAGCCUGAUGCAGCAACGCCGCGUGAGGGAUGACGGCCUCGGUUGUAACUCUUUACGUAGGAAGAAGCGAAGUAGACGGUACCGUG